Pteropus alecto (black flying fox) is the source of this 1139-nucleotide long non-coding RNA. RefSeq lists it as uncharacterized. Lineage: Eukaryota; Metazoa; Chordata; Mammalia; Chiroptera; Pteropodidae. The record is from RefSeq and is a predicted model, not a curated record. The transcript is spliced from 5 exons.
CACCCCACCCCAGCCGCUGCCCCGCCCCCCAGCUCGGCCCGGGAGGACCAGCCAGAGGCCGCUCGCAGUCGGGCCGGGCUGGUCCACUCCGGGGACAAACAAGCCAAGCCCCCUGUUCAUCGUGAGAGAUGCCACACGAGGCCUCGCGUCUGGUCGCCUGCCCCGCGCCGCCCAGAGUGUCCCCGCGAGACCCAGUUCCGGGGCGUCUUCGCAGCGAGCUGCCACGAGGGCCCUGAGGGGAAUGACUGUCGCUGGACAGACAGACGUCCUCUGGCACGACGUGAAGCCCCGCCGUGGACGGGGAAGCACAGGGCUGGUGGCAAGGGCGCAGUGUGCGGCGCAGGUAGCUCAGGCGGUGAGAGGCUGCAGCGCUGGAUCCCGAGGCUCAAGCUGCUGCCCCGUCACACACCAACCUUAAAGCACAGUCAGGAUGCAUCUGUCUUCCCCCAGGUCCAAGGCAAGCAGCUGCAAAUUGCAGUGUUGGGCUUGCGAAGAACCAUCCUCGGAGGCCUGGAGGCCUGUCUCUCGUGGAGGGAAUCCGUCCCCAAACAAGCUGCGGAUGCCCGGCACACAUUCGGAUCACAAACAUAGACAGCGACUGAUCAGACCGCAGCAUUUCGCUUCACUUCCAAUUAAAUAGUUUAAGUGAAAAAAAUCAGGUCUAAUUUUUAUCUCCAAGGAGGACUGGCCUCGACAAUUUCCAUUUCUGAAGGCCAGUUCCUGCUGUGCUUUCAUUAGCAUUUGGGGCUCGCGCCCUCCCCCCACCCCUCCUUCUUCCCCCAUCCCCUGCCUGAUCUCUGCCAGGGGCAGAAAAGAAAACAGCGAAUUAUUACUAAAACAUCCCCAGUUUGGAGCAGGAGCGUAUGCUCUGAAUACACUCGAUUUUGACAUCAAUUAAGUACCUAACCAGACAGGUGCACGUGACUUUGGAGGGUCUCCCAGUGCCCAGGGUGCAUCUCCAGAACGUGGCCUGCUCUCCCUCCCUCUUUUCUCAGCGUUGCUGAUUCCAAAGACUGCCUCUUCCUGAGUGUAUUUUCCCCCCAGCAAUUACACUCCUCCACUGAAAUCUAAAUUUUCCAUACCGCUGCCUGCUACUAAUAAAAACCGUCUACCUUGCACUAUUAAACAGUCGAAUCGCA